UGUAAAAGUUAGAUUCUCAAUUUUAUAAUCCACCACUAACUGAAAUUAGGUCAGAAAUAGAUCAAAGAGAAUCUUCAACUAAAACAUUUAUAUGAAUUUCAUAUUGUGUGAAAACAUUUCAAAUCCUCCGGAUUUUUAUUUCACUACAUGUGGUAUUUUUUUUAUUUUUACACUUACUGCAAAUAUGCUGAAAUACUUAUGUUAUUGAAAAUGGGUCGUCUAUCUUAACAGGUUUCAAAUCUGUUUAACAGGUUUUAAUCUGUUGCCAACACUAGUCGUAGCAUGCAAUAGGCUGAGCUCCGACAACAGUCCUGGGUGGAUUACUGUAAUGAAGGCU
RNAcentral lists this long non-coding RNA (337 nucleotides) under Physcomitrium patens. RNAcentral's name for it is "long non-coding RNA (PPAT_LNC009283)". Lineage: Eukaryota; Viridiplantae; Streptophyta; Bryopsida; Funariales; Funariaceae. The record is from RNAcentral.